AGGCAAAGCUCCCAAUAAAAGAAAAACAAUUAAUUCAAUCGAAAUUUUUUAAAUAAAAAUAAUUUAAAUUGUCAACUCUCCGGGUAGUUAUUAAUUAGUAAUUAACUUCAGUAUCAUAUGAAUUACUUACAAUCAGUUUAAUUUUUACCUAUUUUUUGAAACAAUAAAUUAAAAUAAAUUGAACGGCUUAUAAAAAUUAAUGUAGUUAAAGUACGCGGCAACCUAAGCGCUAUGUGUCACUUCCUAACGUUUGCUCAGCUUUUAGUUUUUUAGUAGCGAGAGCUGCAGACGAAGCGAAAUAUUACAGCCGGUAGACGUUAAUUUGUUCUUCUGUUUAUUUUUUUAAAAGUGUUUAAAUAAAAUACAAUUAAAUUAGUGUUGUUAUUAAAUUACAUUUUUUAAUAUAGUCACGUAAAUAUUUAGUGUAAGUAAUUAAGUGUAAUUAAAUAGUGUUAUUGAAAGUGUCAGUGAUUGAGUGUAGAUAAAUAGUGUAAUUCAAAGUGAGUGUGAAUGUAGCAAAUAUUAGACAAUUUAUAAAUUUUAAACAAAUGAAUAAAUUAAUAAAAAUAAUGAAAUUUAAAAAUAUGCGCGUACUGAUUUUUCAAUUAUCUAAGGCGUAAAUUAGCCGACCUCGAUAGUAAUUUUUGGAUUUUUGAAAACCGAUAAAUUAUAAAAAAAAAAACAUAUUUUAAAAAAUUGCACUUAUAGUUUUUUAAAUUUUCUACAUGUGCACAUUGUUAGUUUUUUUUUUUUUAAUUAAAUUUUUGAAAAAAGAAAAAAGAAAAAUUGUGAGCUGUCUGCUAAUUUCAGGAUCAUAUUUCAUACUUGUAAUUUAAAAAUGUACUUCAAAGUGACAGUGAUUUGAGUGUAAAUAAAUAGUGACGUUAAAUAGUGUAAUGAAAGGUGUCAGUGAUUGAGUGUAGUGAAAUAGUAAAACUAAAAUAAGUGUCAGUGAUCAAGUGUAAUUAAAUAAUAAAUUGUAUGCCCUGUUGUCGGCAAUGGAUUCAAUCUGUUUACUGAAGUCAUCAUUUCGUUGAAUUUCAUCUAAUCAUUCAUCAAACUCAGAUUCCAGCCUAGACAUAGAACUUGCCGCUUGAUAAAAUUCUGUUCCCAUUUUACCAACAUCGGAGACAGAGGGAUGGAAAAGCUCUUUCACCACGAAAAAGAGAAAGCUUUUCAUUGAAAAUUUUGUACUACUGCCAUCUAACGAACAUAUGAUGAAACAUCUGGAGUACCGACAAGUCAAAGUGGUCAAGGAGUUUAAGCCGUUGUUUUUUCAGAGGAGUCAUUUCAAAGUGAUCUGGAUUUUAUUUCAAUUCGCAUUCACUACGAUUCGGAGUUUUGGAAUUAAAAUAAACUUCUGUUCUGUGUGAAUUUCACUUCAAGAGAAUAACAGUCAUCCACACCACACUCACUCCGGAUUUAAUUUGCAUUCACUCCGUAAAUUUUUUACGGUGAAGUUGAUACCAUUCAAGUUUUUCCUAGUUCAAGCUUAAUAUAAAUUAUAUUAUAAAAAAAAAAUUUUAAAAUAGCUAUUUUCGAUACAUAGGAUUGAAACGAGGGUUCGCGGUAUGUUUGUUUUGGCGACACAAGUCUUGGGUUAUGACGCAUCCUCAACGAGAACAAGUACAUACGUCUUUCUCGCACGAGUGAAGCGAGUAUACAGAGAGAUGAUUUUCUCUAUCUCUUUCUGUCUAGCGUGAACGACGCUCGCUCCUUGAUUUGUAUAUAAUUCUUAUAGCAAAUUAUAUUUCAGCAUUGUAAAAUCAUGCUGAAUAGUGAAACAGCUCAUUUUUCGAUAUCGUUCAAUAGUCUCGUCAAUUAUCGAGAGAAAGACCGAUAUAUUUUACUCGCAACACACGACGCUCGAAUGUUGAACUUUAAACGCAGGAGUUAUAAAAAAUAGUUAUUUUCGAUACGAAUGCGGAACGGUAGGGAUUCUGACGGCUAGAAGUGACGUCACAAGUUUGAGGCUAUGGGCGCUUUCUUAUCAAGACCGGAUAUAGUACGAGGUUUUGAUGAGAAUGCAUCCAUAGCCUCAAACGCGUGCCUCCACUUCAAGUUUGUCAGGGUUCCUACCUUUGAGCAUAAAGUAUCGAACAAAAUUUUUUGUCAUAUCAACGGCGGAAGUUGAAUUUGAGAGAGUAACAGUCAAAAAUGUUUUAAGUCGCGUAGGAAUGUAGAGACAGAUAGAGAGAGAGAGAUAGAGAAGUUACUUUUCGAUACAAGUUCGAGAAAAGUUAACCAAACUAUAGAUUGCCAGAAAUCGUAUAGUUUUGCGCCCUCUGCACGUUGCUUGAAAAUCCAACUUUCGCGGUUGAUAUGACAAAAAACAAUUUUUUAUAAAAAUUGUCAACGUCAGUUGACAAAAAACUUUCUAUGUAUCUACAUAUUUUUUUGAUUUCAACGAUAAAAAUUUUUUCAAUCACAAAUUCUUUAAAACAAAAAAAAAUUUUUUUUUUUGCCGAAAAAUAUUUAAAUUUAUCUAGUACAAUUGUAGCUAAA
Molecule: long non-coding RNA, 2505 nt
Organism: Microplitis mediator
Lineage: Eukaryota; Metazoa; Arthropoda; Insecta; Hymenoptera; Braconidae
Exons: 4
Source: RefSeq, a predicted model, not a curated record